RNAcentral lists this ribosomal RNA (271 nucleotides) under uncultured bacterium. RNAcentral's name for it is "partial 16S ribosomal RNA". It matches the Rfam family "Bacterial small subunit ribosomal RNA", at positions 524 to 794 of the family's 1533-position model. The record is from RNAcentral.
UACGGAGGGAGCUAGCGUUGUUCGGAAUUACUGGGCGUAAAGCGCACGUAGGCGGCUUUUCAAGUCAGGGGUGAAAUCCCAGGGCUCAACCCUGGAACUGCCUUCUAAACUGCAAGCCUGGAGGUCAGGAGAGGCGAGUGGAAUACCGAGUGUAGAGGUGAAAUUCGUAGAUAUUCGGUGGAACACCAGUGGCGAAGGCGACUCGCUGGACUGAUACUGACGCUGAGGUGCGAAAGCGUGGGGAGCAAACAGGAUUAGAAACCCCAGUAGU